CGGUGUUUAACUGGCGUGAUGUGGGACGUCCUACCGGUGGGCUUAGCCUCGCGAGGGGCGGCCCAACUAAUAUCCCGUCGCGGUGCUCUUUACUGAGUGUCGAGUCGGGCCGGUACGUUUACUUUGAACAAAUUAGAGUGCUUAAAGCAGGCUAUCCUCGCCUGAAUACUGCGUGCAUGGAAUAAUGGAAUAGGACCUCGGUUCUAUUUUGUUGGUUUUCGGAACCCCGAGGUAAUGAUUAAUAGGGACAGAUGGGGGCAUUCGUAUUGCGACGUUAGAGGUGAAAUUCUUGGAUCGUCGCAAGACGGACAGAAGCGAAAGCAUUUGCCAAAAAUGUUUUCAUUAAUCAAGAACGAAAGUUAGAGGUUCGAAGGCGAUCAGAUACCGCCCUAGUUCUAACCAUAAACGAUGCCAGCUAGCGAUCCGCCGAAGCUCCUCCGAUGACUCGGCGGGCAGCUUCCGGGAAACCAAAGCUUUUGGGUUCCGGGGGAAGUAUGGUUGCAAAGCUGAAACUUAAAGGAAUUGACGGAAGGGCACCACCAGGAGUGGAGCCUGCGGCUUAAUUUGACUCAACACGGGAAACCUCACCAGGCCCAGACACCGGAAGGAUUGACAGAUUGAUAGCUCUUUCUUGAUUCGGUGGGUGGUGGUGCAUGGCCGUUCUUAGUUGGUGGAGCGAUUUGUCUGGUUAAUUCCGAUAACGAACGAGACUCUAGCCUGCUAAAUAGGCGUACCUUAUGGUAUCGCGAAGGCCCCCGGCUUCGGCCGGUGGGUUUUUACUACCAACGUACAAACAAAUCUUCUUAGAGGGACAGGCGG
RNAcentral lists this ribosomal RNA (819 nucleotides) under uncultured eukaryote. RNAcentral's name for it is "SSU rRNA". It matches the Rfam family "Eukaryotic small subunit ribosomal RNA", at positions 629 to 1426 of the family's 1831-position model. The record is from RNAcentral.